This is a long non-coding RNA of Vicia villosa (hairy vetch), 867 nucleotides long. RefSeq lists it as uncharacterized. The transcript has 6 exons. The record is from RefSeq and is a predicted model, not a curated record. Lineage: Eukaryota; Viridiplantae; Streptophyta; Magnoliopsida; Fabales; Fabaceae.
UCUCUCUUCUUAGGAUUAAUUUGAUCACUCUCUCUCAUCUCUAUCUCUCGUUUGCAUUUUAUACGUUCAAAGCAGGCCAUUGGAAACUAGUUGUCUUCUUGACCUUCCAUACGAUUCAAAACUCCCUCUCAAUUUUCAAUUCCUUAACAAAAUAUUGGAGAAAUUACUGAAAGAACGGAAGAAACGGGCGCUAUUGAAGCUUAAAUCGAAGUUAGAGAAGGAAAUUGUUCAGUGGGAACAUUUGUCGAACACGUUGCACUCAUUACAAAUUUCUUCUUCAACAACAACGAAAUCAGCAGCAGCAGAAAGAUCAAACUACAUCUCUUCCUUCCACUUCUUCUUCCUCCACUAAAUCAUCUCUACUCGACGAUCUUCUCUUCCAGUGGACACUGGUUGUUGGUUGCAAUUAAUCCUGUAAGAGAAGUUGUAUAUUAUCUGGAUUCGUUAGGCGGUGAUUGGAAAAAUAACCAAAUAUGAAGGAGAUGGUUGAUACGUAAAGUUAUACAAAUUUUUCGAUCACAAAGAGAUACUCGAGUACCAAAGAGUAAAGCAAACAACAUUACAUGGAUUAGAGUGCAGUGUCCUCAUCAGCGUAAUGAUAUAAAUUGCGGUUAUUUCAUGUUGAGGUUUAUGAAAGAAAUUAUUCUUUUGAAUCAAAUAGAGAUUCCAACCAUGUACUUCCAUGAAUUCAAGUCUUCUACUUACUCGAAAGAUUAAUUGGAUGAAAUUAAGGAGGAUUGGUGUCAAUACAUUAUUGAGAUGAAAAUUUCAUAAGGUAGGUGCAUAUGAAGAAGAUAGAGAUAACAAGUUCAUUGUUGUUGUUUUUUAGGAGCUCUAGAAGAUAGUAAUAUGUACAUUAGAAGAUAG